GACGAACGCUGGCGGCGUGCUUAACACAUGCAAGUCGAACGGUAAGGCCCUUCGGGUACGACGAGUGGCGAACGGGUGAGUAACACGUGGUGAUCUGCCCUGCACUUCGGGAUAAGCCUGGGAAACUGGGUCUAAUACCGGAUAGGACUCCUGGCUUCAUGGUUGGGGUGUAAAGCUUUUGCGGUGUGGGAUGGGCCCGCGGCCUAUCAGCUUGUUGGUGGGGUAAUGGCCUACCAAGGCGACGACGGGUAGCCGGCCUGAGAGGGUGACCGGCCACACUGGGACUGAGAUACGGCCCAGACUCCUACGGGAGGCAGCAGUGGGGAAUAUUGCACAAUGGGCGCAAGCCUGAUGCAGCGACGCCGCGUGAGGGAUGACGGCCUUC
RNAcentral lists this ribosomal RNA (385 nucleotides) under uncultured bacterium. RNAcentral's name for it is "bacterial SSU rRNA". It matches the Rfam family "Bacterial small subunit ribosomal RNA", at positions 28 to 419 of the family's 1533-position model. The record is from RNAcentral.